GCAGUCGCCGCGGUAAUACGUAGGUGGCAAGCGUUGUCCGGAAUUAUUGGGCGUAAAGGGCUCGCAGGCGGUUUCUUAAGUCUGAUGUGAAAGCCCCCGGCUCAACCGGGGAGGGUCAUUGGAAACUGGGAAACUUGAGUGCAGAAGAGGAGAGUGGAAUUCCACGUGUAGCGGUGAAAUGCGUAGAGAUGUGGAGGAACACCAGUGGCGAAGGCGACUCUCUGGUCUGUAACUGACGCUGAGGAGCGAAAGCGUGGGGAGCGAACAGGAUUAGAUACCCGCGUAGUCCCUGUCUCUUAUAC
This 302-nucleotide ribosomal RNA is filed under the name uncultured bacterium. Its description in RNAcentral is "partial 16S ribosomal RNA". It matches the Rfam family "Bacterial small subunit ribosomal RNA", at positions 508 to 807 of the family's 1533-position model. The record is from RNAcentral.